Molecule: ribosomal RNA, 700 nt
Filed under: uncultured bacterium
Lineage: Bacteria
Description: bacterial SSU rRNA
Rfam family: Bacterial small subunit ribosomal RNA
Source: RNAcentral
UCGAGCGCGUGCAGCAAUACACGAGCGGCGUACGGGUGAGUAACGGGUGGAUAACCUGCCUCUAGGUGGGGGAUAACGGCUGGAAACGGCCGCUAAUACCGCAUACGGUGGCUGGCCUUCGGGCUGGUCAAGAAAGGGGCUUCACAGCCUCGCCGAGAGAUGGGUCCGCCUCCGAUUAGCUAGUUGGUAGGGUAAUGGCCUACCAAGGCUUUGAUCGGUAGCCGAACUGAGAGGUUGAUCGGCCACACUGGAACUGAGACACGGUCCAGACACCUACGGGUGGCAGCAGUAGGGAGUAUUGCGCAAUGGGCGAAAGCCUGACGCAGCCACGCCGCGUGGAUGAUGAAGGCCUUCGGGUCGUAAAGUCCUUUUAUGAGGGAAGAAAGGUCCGGUGAGGAAAUGCUCCGGAUUUGACGGUACCUCAGGAAUAAGCCACGGCUAACUCUGUGCCAGCAGCCGCGGUAAUACAGAGGUGGCUAGCGUUGUUCGGAAUUACUGGGCGUAAAGGGAGCGCAGGCGGCUAAAUUAGUCUGAAGUGCAAGCCCGGGGCUCAACCCCGGAAUCGCUUUGGAUACUGUUUGGCUUGAGUAUGUCAGAGGUGAGCGGAAUUCCAGGUGUAGCGGUGAAAUGCGUAGAUAUCUGGAGGAACAUCCGUGGCGAAGGCGGCUCACUGGGACAACACUGACGCUGAGGCUCGAAA